This 420-nucleotide ribosomal RNA is filed under the name Fusobacteriota bacterium. RNAcentral describes it as "Fusobacteria bacterium partial 16S ribosomal RNA". It matches the Rfam family "Bacterial small subunit ribosomal RNA", at positions 355 to 776 of the family's 1533-position model. The record is from RNAcentral. Lineage: Bacteria; Fusobacteriati; Fusobacteriota.
UGGGGGAUAUUGCACAAUGGGCGAAAGCCUGAUGCAGCGACGCCGCGUGGGGGAUGAAGGCCUUCGGGUUGUAAACUUCUUUUGCUCUGAACAAGGCAUGCCUUUGGGGUGUGUUGAGCGUAGGGGUUGAUUAGCGCCGGCUAACUACGUGCCAGCAGCCGCGGUAAUACGUAGGGCGCGAGCGUUGUCCGGAAUUAUUGGGCGUAAAGGGCUUGUAGGUGGCUGGUUGCGUCUGUCGUGAAAGCUCAUGGCUUAACUGUGGGUUUGCGGUGAGUACGGGCUGGCUUGAGUGCAGUAGGGGAGGCUGGAAUUCCUGGUGUAGCGGUGGAAUGCGCAGAUAUCAGGAGGAAUACCGGUGGCGAAGGCGGGUCUCUGGGCUGUUACUGACGCUGAGGAGCGAAAGCGUGGGGAGCGAACAGG